AAAUUCUUUCCCUUCUCCAUCUCCAGUAUAAAAGUCAUGAUUUUCUUAGAAUUUGCAAUGAAUGAGUUCAUGAAGGAUGAUUUUUCAUGCCCAAAUGCUAAAGCCUAUAAUGUCACCCUGGGUGUUUUGCUGAAUUCAUUGUUUUACAAAUGUUUGCAAUCAAUUUCCCCUCCUCUUGAUACAGUUGAUUAUUUUGUGCAUUACACUAUUUCUUGAAAGGACCCUUAGGAAAGAAGUUUUGACCCUUUUUGCAGAGGCCAAAUGCACCUAGUCCUUAAAAUACAUUUGCAGUAAGGUUAUUUUUUCCUAAAAAUUUUUCUUUGGCCGUCCAUGCCAAAGAAUUUGGAGGUGCUCAUAUGGGACCCUGGGCUCUGACAGAAUUUCAGGAAUGAGCCUCCAGCAUAACUUCCCUUUUAGGAUGAGUCCCAAAGGGCAAAGGGCUGGUGUGUACUUGGGCUGCCAGAGACUGGGAGUAGGGAAGGAGAAUGUGAAAGAGGGAAGGAAUGAGAGAAAAAAAUUAUUUCAGAAUGGCUGUAAGACACAACUGUCAGUAAGAGAACUUUUGCCAGUGUAAGAGAACUUUUGCCAGUGAAGUGAGAUGUGACUUCCCAAAAUUUAACACUAAUCCAUAGUAAGUGAUUAGGGAUAGGAAAUAAAGAUUUCUCUCUCCUAUUUAAAUUUUGUCAUGCAACCCUUUCUCACAGAUGGCUUGUUCUAAUGCUCCAUUCUGGCUGGUGCCUACAAAAGAGUGGAUAUUAAUCUGCUCCCUGUGAGCCUGCUACUCUGCUGUUGAAUGUCCUCUGCAUCCUCUCUGACAUCUCCUCUGGCUCAUGUGUCUUUAUUCUCUGCUCUGUGGAGUCCCUUAUCUGCAUCUUCCUUAGCCUCAAGUUGGUCAGGGUUUAUAGGAAGCUGUGUGUACUGUCCUUCCAACCUCAGCUUGCAGCUGGCACACCUGGCUGAAAUUUCUGGAGCAGGCAGCAUUCAUCUGCUGGAGAAGUGUCUUCCCCUCUCCUGA
RNAcentral lists this long non-coding RNA (1015 nucleotides) under Cyanistes caeruleus (blue tit). RNAcentral describes it as "lncRNA (ENSCCEG00000008882.1)". Lineage: Eukaryota; Metazoa; Chordata; Aves; Passeriformes; Paridae. The record is from RNAcentral.